RNAcentral lists this ribosomal RNA (453 nucleotides) under Triticum aestivum (bread wheat). Its description in RNAcentral is "partial small subunit ribosomal RNA". The record is from RNAcentral. Lineage: Eukaryota; Viridiplantae; Streptophyta; Magnoliopsida; Poales; Poaceae.
AUGAAUUUCCUUACUUGGAACUGUCGGGGUUUGGGAUGGCCUCGACAGUUGGAGAGUUUGCGGGACCUUGUUCGGUCUCACAAUCCUGCGGUGGUGUUCCUGUGUGAAACAAAAAAGAAGGCUAGAGCGAUGGAACAGAUUCGGUGGAGCUUGGGUUUCCAGCAUGGGGUUGCGGUUGAUUGUGUUGGGCAGAGUGGUGGCUUGGCGUUGUGGUGGCGUGAUCACGUCAGUGUCACUAUACGCCCGUGGUGUCAAUACUUCAUCGAUGCCACCAUUGUUCAUGAUGGCAAGACCGUUAGAUUCACUGGAUUCUACGGUGAGCCGAGGACGGAACUUCGGAAUAAAUCUUGGGAGGCGAUUCGUUUCUUGAGAUCUCAAGAUGACCUCCCUUGGCUGUGCGCGGGUGACUUCAACGAGGCACUAUUCUAUACGGAUCAGCGGGGGGGGGGGUAA